RNAcentral lists this long non-coding RNA (19128 nucleotides) under Citrus x clementina. RNAcentral's name for it is "Citrus clementina (C. clementina) long non-coding RNA (CCLE_LNC002495)". Lineage: Eukaryota; Viridiplantae; Streptophyta; Magnoliopsida; Sapindales; Rutaceae. The record is from RNAcentral.
CGUGUCCUCUUGAGCGAUGGUGGGCCAAACCUCAGCGAGGACGCUGAGUCCCCAAACGGGGUGUAUGUAACACCCUAGGCGAAUCCCACAUCGGCAAAGCACGAGAGAGAUGCUGGGUUUAUAAGGGGUGAUCCACAGCUUAAUUGGCAAGACGCGUUUUGGGGUGUAUGAACGCCCCAAGAACAAAUCCGUGCGGGCCUUGUUAAGGCCCAUAGCGGACAAUAUCUUGCCAGGUCUGGGUUGGGUCAUGACAAUGUGGUAUCAGAGCGGCUCCUCGUGUCCUCUUGAGCGAUGGUGGGGCAAACCUCAGCGAGGACGCUGAGUCCCCAAAGGGGGUGUAUGUAACACCCUAGGCGAAUCCCACAUCCUCAAAGCACGAGAGAGAUGCUGGGUUUAUAUGGGGUGAUCCACAGAUUAAUUGGCAACACGCGUUUUGGGGUGUAUGAACGCCCCAAGAACAAAUCCGUGCGGGCCUUGUUAAGGCCCAUAGCGGACAAUAUCUUUCCAGAUCUGGGUUGGGUCAUGACAUUGUGGUAUCAGAGCGGCUCCGCGUGUCCUCUUGAGCGAUGGUGGGGCAAACCUCAGCGAGGACGCUGAGUCCCCAAGGGGGGGUGUAUGUAACACCCUAGGCGAAUCCCACAUCGGCAAAGCACGGUAGAGAUGCUGGGUUUAUAAGGGGUGAUCCACACCUUAAUUGGCAAGACGCGUUUUGGGGUGUAUGGGCGCCCCAAGAACAAAUCCGUGCGGGCCUUGUUAAGGCCCAAAGCGGACAAUAUCUUGCCAGGUCUGGGUUGGGUCAUGACAUUGUGGUAUCAGAGCGGCUCCGCGUGUUCUCUUGAGCGAUGGUGGGGCAAACCUCAUCGAGUACGCUGAGUCCCCAAGGGCGGGUGUAUGCAACAACCUAGGCAAAUCCCACAUCGGCAAAGCACGGGAGAGAUGCUGGGUUUAUAAGGGGUGAUCCACACUUUAAUUGGCAAGACGCGUUUUGGGGUGUAUGGGCGCCGCAAGAACAAAUCCGUACGGGCCUUGUUAAGGCCCAAAGCGGACAAUAUCUUGCCAGGUCUGGGUUGGGUCAUGACAUUGUGGUAUCAGAGCGGCUCCGCGUGUCCUCUUGAGCGAUGGUGGGGCAAACCUCAGCGACGACGCUGAGUCCCCAAGGGGGGGUGUAUGUAACACCCUAAGCGAAUCCCACAUCGGCAAAGCACGGGGGAGAUGCUGGGUUUAUAAGGGGUGAUCCACACCUUAAUUGGCAAGACGCGUUUUGGGGUGUAUGGGCGCCCCAAGAACAAAUCUGUGCGGGCCUUGUUAAGGCCCAUAGCGGACAAUAUCUUGCCAGGUCUGGGUUGGGUCAUGACAUUGUGGUAUCAGAGCGGCUCUGCGUGUCCUCUUGAGCGAUGGUGGAGCAAAACUCAACGAGGACGCUGAGUCCCCAAGGGGGGUGCGUAUGUAACACCCUAAGGGAAUCCCACAUCGGCAAAGCACGGUAGAGAUGAUGGGUUUAUAAGGGGUGAUCCACACCUUAAUUGGCAAGACGCGUUUUGGGGUGUAUGGGCGCCCCAAGAACAAAUCCGUGCGGGCCUUGUUAAGGCCCAAAGCGGACAAUAUCUUGCCAGGUCUGGGUUGGGUCAUGACAUUGUGGUAUCAGAGCGGCUCCGCGUGUUCUCUUGAGCGAUGGUGGGGCAAACCUCAUCGAGUACGCUGAGUCCCCAAGGGGGGGUGUAUGCAACACCCUAGGCAAAUCCCACAUCGGCAAAGCACGGGAGAGAUGCUGGGUUUAUAAGGGGUGAUCCACACUUUAAUUGGCAAGACGCGUUUUGGGGUGUAUGGGCGCCCCAAGAACAAAUCCGUGCGGGCCUUGUUAAGGCCCAAAGCGGACAAUAUCUUGCCAGGUCUGGGUUGGGUCAUGACAUUGUGGUAUCAGAGCGGCUCCGCGUAUCCUCUUGAGCGAUGGUGGGGCAAACCUCAGCGAGGACGCUGAGUCCCCAAGGGGGGGUGUAUGUAACACCCUAGGCGAAUCCCACAUCGGCAAAGCACGGGAGAGAUGCUGGGUUUAUAAGGGGUGAUCCACAGCUUAAUUGGCAAGACGCGUUUUGGUGUGUAUGGGCGCCACAAGAACAAAUCCGUGCGGGCCUUGUUAAGGCCCAAAGCGGACAAUAUCUUGCCAGGACUGGGUUGGGUCAUGACGUUGUGGUAUCAGAGCGGCUCCGCGUGUCCUCUUGAGCGAUGGUGGGCCAAACCUCAGCGAGGACGCUGAGUCCCCAAACGGGGCGUAUGUAACACCCUAGGCGAAUCCCACAUCGGCAAAGCACGAGAGAGAUGCUGGGUUUAUAAGGGGUGAAUCACAGCUUAAUUGGCAAGACGCGUUUUGGGGUGUAUGAACGCCCCAAGAACAAAUCCGUGCGGGCCUUGUUAAGGCCCAUAGCGGACAAUAUCUUGCCAGGUCUGGGUUGGGUCAUGACAAUGUGGUAUCAGAGCGGCUCCGCGUGUCCUCUUGAGCGAUGGUGGGGCAAACCUCAGCGAGGACGCUGAGUCCCCAAAGGGGGUGUAUGGAACACCCUAGGCGAAUCCCCCAUCGGCAAAGCACGGGAGAGAUGUUGGGUUUAUAAGGGGUGAUCCACACCUUAAUUGGCAAGACGCGUUUUGGGGUGUAUGGGCGCGCAAGAACAAAUCCGUGCGGCCCUUGUUAAGGCCCAAAGCGGACAAUAUCUUGCCAGGUCUGGGUUGGGUCAUGACAUUGUGGUAUCAGAGCGGCUCCGCGUGUCCUCUUGAGCGAUGGUGGGGCAAACCUCAGCGAGGACGCUGAGUCCCCAAGGGGGGGUGUAUGUAACACCCUAAGAUAAUCCCACAUCGGCAAAGCACGGGAGAGAUGCUGGGUUUAUAAGGGGUGAUCCACAUCUUAAUUGGCAAGACGCGUUUUGGGGUGCAUGGGAGCCCCAAGAACAAAUCUGUGCGGGCCUUGUUAAGGCCCAAAGCGGACAAUAUCUUGCCAGGUCUGGGUUGGGUCAUGACAUUGUGGUAUCAGAGCGGAUCCGCGUGUCCUCUUGAGCGAUGGUGGGGCAAACCUCUGCGAGGAUUCCGUCAUCCUUUAAUAUGUGUAUGUAACACCCUAGGCGAAUCCCACAUCGGCAAAGCACGGGAGAAAUGCUGGGUUUAUAAGGGGUGAUCCACACCUUAAUUGGCAAGACGCGUUUUGGGGUGUAUGGGCGCCCCAAGAACAAAUCCGUGCGGGCCUUGUUAAGGCCCAAAGCAUUGGCAAGACGCGUUUUGGGGUGUAUGGGCGCCCCAAGAACAAAUCCGUGCAGCCCUUGUUAAGGCCCAAAGCGGACAAUAUCUUGCCUGGUCUGGGUUGGGUCAUGACAUUGUGGUAUCAGAGCGGCUCCGUGUGUCCUCUUGAGCGAUGGUGGGGCAAACCUCAGCGACGACGCUGAGUCCCCAAGGGGGGGUGUAUGUAACACCCUAAGCGAAUCCCACAUCGGCAAAGCACGGGAGAGAUGCUGGGUUUAUAAGGGGUGAUCCACACCUUAAUUGGCAAGACGCGUUUUGGGGUGUAUGGGCGCCCCAAGAACAAAUCCCUGCGGGCCUUGUUAAGGCCCAAAGCGGACAAUAUCUUGCCAGGUCUGGGUUGGGUCAUGACAUUGUGGUAUCAGAGCGGCUCCGCGUGUUCUCUUGAGCGAUGGUGGGGCAAACCUCAGCGAGGACGCUGAGUCCCCAAAGGGGGUGUAUGUAACACCCUAGCUAAUCCCACAUCGGCAAAGCACGAGAGAGAUGCUUGGUUUAUAAGGGGUGAUCCACAGCUUAAUUGGCAAGACGCGUUUUGGGGUGUAUGAGCGCCCCAAGAACAAAUCCGUGCGGGCCUUGUUAAGGCCCAUAGCGGACAAUAUCUUGCCAGGUCUGGGUUGGGUCAUGACAAUGUGGAAUCAGAGCGGCUUCGCGUGUCCUCUUGAGCGAUGGUGGGGCAAACCUCAGCGAGGACGCGGAGUCCCCAAGGGGGGUGUAUGUAACACCCUAAGCGAAUCCCACAUCGGCAAAGUACGGUAGAGAUGCUGGGUUUAUAAGGGGUGAUCCACACCUUAAUUGGCAAGACGCGUUUUGGGGUGUAUGGGCGCCCCAAGAACAAAUCCGUACGGGCCUUGUUAAGGCCCAAAGCGGACAAUAUCUGGCCAGGUCUGGGUUGGGUCAUGACAUUGUGGUAUCAGAGCGGCUCCGCGUGUCUUCUUGAGCGAUGGUGGGGCAAACCUCAGCGAGGACGCUGAGUCCCCAAGGGGGGGUGUAUGUAACACCCUAGGCGAAUCCCACAUCGGCAAAGCACGGGAGAAAUGCUGGGUUUAUAAGGGGUGAUCCACACCUUAAUUGGCAAGACGCGUUUUGGGGUGUAUGGGCGCCCCAAGAACAAAUCCGUGCGGGCCUUGUUAAGGCCCAAAGCAUUGGCAAGACGCGUUUUGGGGUGUAUGGGCGCCCCAAGAACAAAUCCGUGCAGCCCUUGUUAAGGCCCAAAGCGGACAAUAUCUUGCCUGGUCUGGGUUGGGUCAUGACAUUGUGGUAUCAGAGCGGCUCCGUGUGUCCUCUUGAGCGAUGGUGGGGCAAACCUCAGCGACGACGCUGAGUCCCCAAGGGGGGGUGUAUGUAACACCCUAAGCGAAUCCCACAUCGGCAAAGCACGGGAGAGAUGCUGGGUUUAUAAGGGGUGAUCCACACCUUAAUUGGCAAGACGCGUUUUGGGGUGUAUGGGCGCCCCAAGAACAAAUCCCUGCGGGCCUUGUUAAGGCCCAAAGCGGACAAUAUCUUGCCAGGUCUGGGUUGGGUCAUGACAUUGUGGUAUCAGAGCGGCUCCGCGUGUUCUCUUGAGCGAUGGUGGGGCAAACCUCAGCGAGGACGCUGAGUCCCCAAAGGGGGUGUAUGUAACACCCUAGCUAAUCCCACAUCGGCAAAGCACGAGAGAGAUGCUUGGUUUAUAAGGGGUGAUCCACAGCUUAAUUGGCAAGACGCGUUUUGGGGUGUAUGGGCGCCCCAAGAACAAAUUCGUGCGGGCCUUGUUAAGGCCCAAAUCAUUGGCAAGACGCGUUUUGGGGUGUAUGGGCGCCCCAAGAACAAAUCCGUGCAGGCCUUGUUAAGGCCCAAAGCGGACAAUAUCUUGCCAGGUCUGGGUUGGGUCAUGACAAUGUGGUAUCAGAGCGGCUCCGCGUGUCCUCUUGAGCGAUGGUGGGGCAAACCUCAGCGAGGACGCUGAGUCCCCAAGGGGGGGUGUAUAUAACACCCUAAGCGAAUCCCACAUCGGCAAAGCACGGGAGAGAUGCUGGGUUUAUAAGGGGUGAUCCAAACCUUAAUUGACAAGACGCGUUUUGGGGUGUAUGGGCGCCCCAAGAACAAAUCCGUGCGGGCCUUGUUAAGGCCCAAAGCGGACAAUAUCUUGCCAGGUCUGGGUUGGGUCAUGAAAUUGUGGUAUCAGAGCGGCUCCGCGUGUUNNNNNNNNNNNNNNNNNNNNNNNNNNNNNNNNNNNNNNNNNNNNNNNNNNNNNNNNNNNNNNNNNNNNNNNNNNNNNNNNNNNNNNNNNNNNNNNNNNNNCCCAAGGGGGGGUGUAUGCAACACCCUAGGCAAAUCCCACAUCGGCAAAGCACGGGAGAGAUGCUGGGUUUAUAAGGGGUGAUCCACACCUUAAUUGGCAAGACGCGUUUUGGGGUGUAUGGGCGCCCCAAGAACAAAUCCGUGCAGGCCUUGUUAAGGCCCAAAGCGGACAAUAUCUUGCCUGGUCUGGGUUGGGUCAUGACAUUGUGGUAUCAGAGCGGCUCCGUGUGUCCUCUUGAGCGAUGGUGGGGCAAACCUCAGCGACGACGCUGAGUCCCCAGGGGGGGUGAAUGUAACACCCUAAGCGAAUCCCACAUCCGCAAAGCACGGGAGAGAUGCUGGGUUUAUAAGGGGUGAUCCACACCUUAAUUGGCAAGACGCGUUUUGGGGUGUAUGGGCGCCCCAAGAACAAAUCCGUGUGGGCCUUGUUAAGGCCCAAAGCGGACAAUAUCUUGCCAGGUCUGGGUUGGGUCAUGACAUUGUGGUAUCAGAGCGGCUCCGCGUGUUCUCUUGAGCGAUGGUGGGGCAAACCUCAGUGAGGACGCUGAGUCCCCAAAGGGGGUGUAUGUAACACCCUAGGCUAAUUCCACAUCGGCAAAGCACGAGAGAGAUGCUGGGUUUAUAAGGGGUGAUCCACAGCUUAAUUGGCAUCCAAAUCAUUCCGGUGGGAGAUUCAGAUUCUUUUUUUUUUUUAUCCUUCGAUAAAAAAAAUUCACUCUUCUCAUUAAAAUUGGAGGUAGAACCAAUAAAGAUUUCUUUUUCUAUUCAUUUCUAGAUUUGAGUACCUCAUUUAAGAAUUAUUUUUGCUCCGGUCAGUAGGAAUAAACUGUAAUACCUGUGAAUGUAAAAUGGCAUGAGGCGGUGAAAGAGUUUAUAAGCAAAGGAAUAUGUUGGAAACAGAGGAAAAACACAUGCACGUGCAAAACAGAGAGAGAGAAGCUGCCAACUUACCCGAUCUUGACCCGCCGGAUCCGACCCGACCCGCGACUUUAACCCGGACGGAUUUCACGUUUCCGACCACCGUUUUGGCCGAGCUUGGUACCGAUCUGAAGCUUAGAAGCCGACCGUCGUUCCCCUGCCAUCCUCACUGCCGAAAACGAACCGGAACGCCGGCGAUCGAAGCUUGAAACCCGCGACUGCUUCACUUUACUCCGCCGAGAUUUUCGUCGGUUUUGAGUGACACCACCGGUUGGAUUUUGUUCCUCAUGACUCCCUCUUCCAUUUCCGACCAUUCAUAGGCACCGAGAGUCGUCGUUUUGCUGCCGGUCGAUUGUUGGAACUCACGGCUGUUGAGCUAGAUUCCGGCGUCGUUGCCGCGCGUUGGAGCUCACCGCCGGUACCAUUGAACUCAGCGUGAUUGGCACUUUAAGAUUUGAGCUUCCUGGCCAGCGUUGACCAAAUUCCGGUGACCGUUGACCGGCAAGGGCAUUUUGGUAAUUUCACACUAUGAGGGCAAUUUUGUCAUUUCUGAGCCUGUGGAUAUUUUAGUAAUGCAUAGAAUUGUGAAUUGGGUGUAAUUACGAUUUCGAGGAUAAUUCGGUGAUUUAUGAUUUCGGAGCAUGUUAAUGAUUUACGGACUCAAGGGCAUUUUAGUAAUUUUAUCGUCACGGGAGUUGUUAAUUAUGGAUAAAUGUUCGUUUCGAGUUAUUGCAUAUAUUUAGUCGGAAUUCCGAUUUACGGAGAAUAAUUAUGUCGUUUCCUUGAUUUAGGAGGAUCCGCGAGCGAGAACCGGUCCGCGGACGUAGACGAUAACCGACUGUGAACACCGUCACUAGACGAUAACCGACUGUGAACACCGUCACUGUGAGUGGAAUAUACGAAACUUAUUUUUAGAGUUAAUUAUGAUAGUGCUGAUUUAAUGAUUUCUCGAAAUGGAUUUUAUUCACUUGUUGAUAUUAUAUGAAAAUGUUUGGUUAAUAAUUUUGCGUAUCGAUUUUGAAUAAAGUGUGAUAUUAUUUGAAAGUUAAGAAAAGUGGAUUCAAAUGUGGUAUGAUUUAAAAUGUGGUCAAAUGUGGUAUGAUUUAAAAUGUGGUAAAGAGGUAUGUGAAUAUGAGUACAGUGAUAUAGAUGAGGGGUAAUAAGGGAGGCCCGCCAAACUGAGGGGUAAUAAGGGAGGUGCGCGCUCUGAUUGUAAGGAGGCCUUUGGGGCCCGUCUGAGUACACACAGAGGCUUUGGGCCGUGUGCUUGGGCGCUUUUGUCCUUUGGGGACUAGAUUAUGCAUGCAGAGAUAUGAUGAGAUAUGAUUUUCAGAUUUGUGAAAUCGAUAUGAUUUGGUGAUAUGAUUUCUAUGGUUGGUAAUCUGAUUUAAAUAUUUAAUGAUUUAUUUCUGAUUUCUCACUUAUGGUUUAAUGAAACCGUGUUUGGAUAUGCUUAUUUCUUUUAAAGUAAAGAUCAAUUUUCAAACCUACUAUCCACUCACUGAUCUCACUGAGUUUUAAACUCACCCCGUUUUUAUUAUAUUUUCCCCCCCUCACCAGGAGGUUGCAGGUACACCAGACCGACCCAGCGACUGUAUAUAUUUUGAGUCUUGGCCACGUGAUGGUGCUAGAGUAUAUAAAUGUUUUUGUUGGGACAUCUUGGUCAUCUUGUUCUUUUGGGGUUGUAUAUUAUAUAACUCAGUAUUUUUGGUUGAGUAUGUUGAGCACUGGAGUUUGUUGUAUAUUCAUAUUUGUACUUUGGGAGUGUUAUAUAUAUAAAGGAGACUCUGUCGAAUUUUCAGCAGAUUCUUUACGUAUAAUAUUAUUUUUAAGUCUGUUUUGAUGUAACUAGAUAGACUCGCCUGGGGGGUUUCGGGGCGGGUCGUUUCAGUUGGUAUCAGAGCAUGGUUUUAGAUUCUGUAGACUUUACUGUCUUAAUCAUAAUAGUUUUAUCUUUAUUAAAGUCAGAGUUUAUCUCUUGUAGGCACCAUCAUGCUUCGUCGUAGUAGUAGACGUGGCCGUGGCCGUGGUCGUACUAGGCCAAUAGCUGGGUUGACUUCUGGUAGUGUACCUGCGGGGGAACGUGAACCCGCGAAUGAGGGGAUAGUUGAAUCCUCUACGCAUGGAAUUGCACAACAGACACCGAGGGAUGCCCCGAAUAUUGAGCAGUCAUUUGAUAGGCUGGCUCAAAUCAUGACUACAGUUGUGCAAAAUCAGACUCAAGCACAUGUCGGUAAUGCAAAUACUAUUGAGCGAGUGAGGAGUUUAGGGGCGAAGAGUUUUAAUGGUUUCGGAGAACCACCUGAGGCUGAGUCAUGGUUUGUUAAGUUAGAGCGUAUUUUUGAUGUGAUGAAGUGUCCAGAAGAUGAUAGAUUAUCCUUCGCCACUUUCCUGCUCGAGGAUAGAGCUUACCAUUGGUGGCAGACAGUGGAGAGACGAUAUCAGGGACAUGCUGCGAUUACUUGGGUUAUUUUCCGCAAGGAAUUCUACGAUCAUUAUUUUCCUGUUGUAUAUCAGGAUAUUAAACGGAGUGAAUUCUUUCGGUUGGUUCAGGGAUCUCUGACAGUUGAGGAGUAUGAGAAGAAAUUUUUAGAUCUCUCUAGAUUUGCUACAUCUGUAGUCGGUGAUGAGAGAGAGAGAUGCAGACGGUUCGAGGAUGGCCUCCGAUUUGAGAUUCGUACCACCGUGACUGCAUCACGAUAUACUGAGUUUGGGGAGGUAGUUGAGGCAGCCAGGAGAGUAGAGCACAGUAUUGCAGAGGGACGUAGAUUUCAUGCACUGAAGCAAAAGCGUAGCCAGAGCUGGGCAGAGGGUGACUCUAGUAGUAGGCCGCCCAAGAGAGGGGGUAUUCCUACGAGUUAUUCUGAUAGUAUGCAAAGGAGUCAGGGUACAGGCUUCAGAGGGGACUCGAGACAAGCUGUUAGUCAUAGUUCUGUACAACCAUUGGUAGGGAGUAAUACCAGGACUCAGGGACAGUACGACCGCAGUAGCGGGGGAUAUCGUGAUGAUCGUUCUAGGAGUUUCCAGCUAACUUCUUGCCCUUCAUGUGGCAGGAAUCAUCAGGGCCAAUGUCGUGUUGGAGACAGAGUUUGUUAUUUAUGUGGUCAGCCUGGACACAUCAGGAGAUUUUGCCCUACUUUAUCUCAGGGUGAUAGCUCUACAGGAGGGACAGCCUCACGGUACCGGCCUUACUCUAGCCAGAUUCAGGGUCAGAGAGGAGUGCAGACAGGAGGUUCUACAUCUACCUUUAGGGGUCAGACGACUGCUUCAGGUCAGAGAGGUCAGUCUGGUCGACCUCAUACUCAGGCUCGAGUUUUUGCUUUGACGCAGCAGGAGGCACGUGCUGCACCCGAAGUUAUUAUGGGUAUAUUAUCUAUCCUUGGCCGCGAGGCUCAUAUUCUUAUUGAUCCUGGAUCCACACACUCUUUUGUUUCUCGUACUUUUGCUAUGCAUAUAGGGCGAGAGCCCGAACUGCUAGAUUGUGAAUUAGUUGUUCGUACACCUACCGGAGAGUCAGUACUUGCUCAGAGUGUGUAUCGAGAUUGUAUGAUUGGAAUGGGUGAACAUGAAUUUGAGGCGAAUUUGAUUUCCUUAGAGAUUUAUGACUUUGAUGCUAUUUUGGGUAUGGAUUGGCUUGAAUCUCAUUAUGCUACGGUGGAUUGUUUCAAAAAGGAUGUUGUGUUUAAAAAGCCAGGGAAAGCUGAGGUGAAAUUUUGUGGGGAGCGCAGAGUUCUACCCUCAUGUGUUAUAUCUGCUAUUAGUGCAAGACGGUUGUUAAGAAAAGGAUGCUCAGCUUAUUUAGCUCAUGUGAUAGAUACAGAAGCUCGAGAAUUGAGAUUGGAGGAUAUUACAGUAGUUAAAGAAUUUCCAGAUGUUUUUCCAAAUGAACUUCCUGGAAUGCCACCUAACAGAGAAGUUGAGUUUUCUAUUGACUUAGUCCCUGGAACAUCUCCAAUAUCUAUGGCACCGUACCGAAUGGCUCCAGCAGAAUUGAAGGAACUGAAGGUUCAAUUGCAAGAGUUGGUAGAGAAAGGGUUUAUUAGACCUAGUGUGUCCCCGUGGGGAGCUCCAGUCUUAUUUGUUAAGAAAAAGGAUGGGACUUUUAGACUCUGCAUCGACUAUAGGCAGUUGAAUAAAGUUACGGUACGCAAUAAGUAUCCACUUCCGCGUAUUGAUGACUUGUUUGAUCAACUCCAAGGGGCAAAAGUAUUUUCUAAGAUUGAUUUGCGCUCGGGUUACCAUCAGCUUAGAAUUAAAGAUGUUGACGUUCCUACAACAGCAUUCAGAACCCGUUAUGGGCACUAUGAGUUCUUAGUGAUGCCAUUUGGAUUGACAAAUGCCCCAGCUGCUUUUAUGGACCUGAUGAACAGGGUAUUUAGCCUAUACCUAGAUCGGUUUGUGAUUGUAUUCAUUGAUGAUAUUUUGGUGUAUUCCCGAAACGAGAAGGAGCAUGCAGAGCAUUUGUGGACUGUUUUACAGACUUUGAGACAGAAGCAGUUGUAUGCCAAGUUCAGCAAAUGUGAGUUUUGGUUGGACAGAGUCGUAUUUUUGGGCCAUGUGAUAUCAGCUGAAGGUAUUUAUGUUGAUCCUCAAAAGAUUGAAGCAGUUGUGAAAUGGGAACGGCCUACAAAUGUCACAGAGGUUCGGAGUUUUCUUGGGUUAGCUGGUUAUUAUCGUAGAUUUGUGGAAGGAUUCUCCAAGAUUGCUAUUCCUAUGACACGAUUAACCAGAAAGAAUGCUAAGUUCCAGUGGGAUGAUGACUGUGAAAAAAGUUUUCAAGAACUUAAGACAUGUUUGACCUCAGCACCAGUUCUUACACUUCCAUCUGGUAAUGAAGGAUUUAUGGUUUACAGUGAUGCCUCUAGGCAGGGAUUGGGUUGUGUAUUGAUGCAGCAUGGGAAAGUGGUGGCUUAUGCCUCUAGACAACUUAAGAAGCAUGAACAAAACUAUCCAACACAUGAUUUAGAACUAGCAGCAGUGGUGUUUGCACUCAAGAUAUGGCGGCAUUACUUAUAUGGAGCAACAUGUCAGAUUUUUACCGAUCAUAAGAGCUUGAAGUAUUUGUUUACUCAGAAGGAGUUGAAUUUGAGACAGAGGAGAUGGAUCGAACUGAUUAAGGACUACGAUUGCACUAUCGAUUAUCAUCCAGGCAAAGCAAAUGUGAUGGCUGAUGCACUAAGUAGAAAGUCUUCCAGCUCUAUCGCUCACUUGCGAGUGAAAUAUGUACCUCUGUUGAUCGAGUUGAGAUCUUUGGAAGUCGAGUUGAAUACUGACAAUCGUGGAGCUUUGAUAGCUAACUUCCGCGUUAGGCCGACUUUGAUUGACAAAGUUCACCAUAUGCAAGCUCAGGACCCACAGUUAAUGAAGUUAAAAGAGGAUGUGCAGAAAGGUUUACGAACCGAUUUUAUGGUGAGAGAGGAUGGAGUUGUAUUCAUGGGUAAUAGACUCUGUGUACCUGAUAUUAAAGAUUUGAAAAAAGAGAUUAUGGAAGAAGCUCACUGUUCAGCCUAUGCGAUGCAUCCUGGUAGUACGAAGAUGUACCGUACCUUGAGAGAUCAUUAUUGGUGGCAGGGCAUGAAGAGAGAGAUAGCAGAAUUUGUUUCUCGAUGUUUGGUCUGUCAACAGAUUAAAGCUGAACACCAGAGGCCUGCAGGGUGCUCUCAGCCGCUUCCUAUUCCAGAGUGGAAGUGGGAGCACAUCACUAUGGAUUUUGUGGCGGGACUUCCACAUACUCAGAAAGGACAUGAUGGUGUUUGGGUGGUUGUAGAUCGACUUACAAAAUCUGCUCAUUUCUUACAUUUCAAGACCACUUAUUCGAUGGACAAGUUGGGAAGUAUUUAUGUGUCUGAAAUAGUUCGACUUCACGGAGUACCUGUGUCCAUAGUCUCAGAUAGAGAUUCCCGGUUUACUUCUAAAUUCUGGACUAGCUUGCAAAAUGCUUUAGGCACCAAGUUGAACUUCAGUACAGCUUUUCAUCCACAGACUGAUGGACAGUCAGAGCGAACUAUUCAAACUCUAGAGGAUAUGUUGCGAGCUUGUGUUAUGGAAUUUAAAGGAAAUUGGGACAAUUAUUUACCUCUGAUGGAGUUUGCUUACAACAACAGUUAUCAAGCUAGUAUUGAGAUGGCACCAUAUGAGGCUUUGUAUGGUAGAAAAUGCAGGACUCCAGUAUGUUGGGAUGAGGUUGGUGAGCGGAGGUUAUUCGGUCCAGAACUAGUCCAGGAUACGAACGAGAAGAUACAAUUGAUUCGGGAUAGAUUAAAGGUGGCUCAAGAUAGACAGAAAAGUUAUGCAGACAAACGUAGGCGGGAACUUGAAUUCGAAGUUGGUGAUAGAGUUUUCAUACGGAUAUCUCCUUGGAAAGGGGUGCUUCGAUUUGGGAAACGUGGGAAGUUAAGUCCACGUUAUAUUGGGCCGUAUGAGAUCGUGGAGCGUAUUGGUCCGUUGGCAUACCGAUUAGCUCUACCACCCGAGUUAUCCAGAAUCCACGAUGUGUUUCAUGUUUCGAUGCUCCGGAAGUACAUAUAUGAUCCGAGUCAUGUGUUGUCGAAGCAACCAAUUCAGUUGAAGGAAGAUUUGACUUACGAAGAGGAACCGGUGGAGAUACUGGAAGAGAAACACCAAGUUCUACGUUCUAAGACCAUCCCUCUAGUAAAAGUGCGAUGGAAGAAUCAUACAAAGGAAGAGGCUACCUGGGAGCGCGAGGACUUAGUGCGAGCUCAAUAUCCCUAUCUUUUCUUAUCAGGUACGUAAAUUUCGAGGACGAAAUUUUUAUAAAGGGGGAGGAUUGUAAUACCUGUGAAUGUAAAAUGGCAUGAGGCGGUGAAAGAGUUUAUAAGCAAAGGAAUAUGUUGGAAACAGAGGAAAAACACAUGCACGUGCAAAACAGAGAGAGAGAAGUUGCCAACUUACCCGAUCUUGACCCGCCGGAUCCGACCCGACCCGCGACUUUAACCCGGACGGAUUUCACGUUUCCGACCACCGUUUUGGCCGAGCUUGGUACCGAUCUGAAGCUUAGAAGCCGACCGUCGUUCCCCUGCCAUCCUCACUGCCGAAAACGAACCGGAACGCCGGCGAUCGAAGCUUGAAACCCGCGACUGCUUCACUUUACUCCGCCGAGAUUUUCGUCGGUUUUGAGUGACACCACCGGUUGGAUUUUGUUCCUCAUGACUCCCUCUUCCAUUUCCGACCAUUCAUAGGCACCGAGAGUCGUCGUUUUGCUGCCGGUCGAUUGUUGGAACUCACGGCUGUCGAGCUAGAUUCCGGCGUCGUUGCCGCGCGUUGGAGCUCACCGCCGGUACCAUUGAACUCAGCGUGAUUGACACUUUAAGAUUCGAGCUUCCUGGCCAGCGUUGACCAAAUUCCGGUGACCGUUGACCGACAAGGGCAUUUUGGUAAUUUCACACUAUGAGGGCAAUUUUGUCAUUUCUGAGCAUGUGGAUAUUUUAGUAAUGCAUAGAAUUGUGAAUUGGGUGUAAUUACGAUUUCGAGGAUAAUUCGGUGAUUUAUGAUUUCGGAGCAUGUUAAUGAUUUACGGACUCAAGGGCAUUUUAGUAAUUUUAUCGUCACGGGAGUUGUUAAUUAUGGAUAAAUGUUCGUUUCGAGUUAUUGCAUAUAUUUAGUCGGAAUUCCGAUUUACGGAGAAUAAUUAUGUCGUUUCCUUGAUUUAGGAGGAUCCGCGAGCGAGAACUGGUCCGCGGACGUAGACGAUAACCGACUGUGAACACCGUCACUGUGAGUGGAAUAUACGAAACUUAUUUUUAGAGUUAAUUAUGAUAGUAAAGCAUGGUUGCGGAAUAAGUAUUUUUAAAUGUGCUGAUUUAAUGAUUUCUCGAAAUGGAUUUUAUUCACUUGUUGAUAUUAUAUGAAAAUGUUUGGUUAAUAAUUUUGCGUAUCGAUUUUGAAUAAAGUGUGAUAUUAUUUGAAAGUUAAGAAAAGUGGAUUCAAAUGUGGUAUGAUUUAAAAUGUGGUAAAGAGGUAUGUGAAUAUGAGUACAGUGAUAUAGAUGAGGGGUAAUAAGGGAGGCCCGCCAAACUGAGGGGUAAUAAGGGAGGUGCGCGCUCUGAUUGUAAGGAGGCCUUUGGGGCCCGUCUGAGUACACACAGAGGCUUUGGGCCGUGUGCUUGGGCGCUUUUGUCCUUUGGGGACUAGAUUAUGCAUGCAGAGAUAUGAUGAGAUAUGAUUUUCAGAUUUGUGAAAUCGAUAUGAUUUGGUGAUAUGAUUUCUAUGGUUGGUAAUCUGAUUUAAAUAUUUAAUGAUUUAUUUCUGAUUUCUCACUUAUGGUUUAAUGAAACCGUGUUUGGAUAUGCUUAUUUCUUUUAAAGUAAAGAUCAAUUUUCAAACCUACUAUCCACUCACUGAUCUCACUGAGUUUUAAACUCACCCCGUUUUUAUUAUAUUUUCCCCCCCUCACCAGGAGGUUGCAGGUACACCAGACCGACCCAGCGACUGUAUAUAUUUUGAGUCUUGGCCACGUGAUGGUGCUAGAGUAUAUAAAUGUUUUUGUUGGGACAUCUUGGUCAUCUUGUUCUUUUGGGGUUGUAUAUUAUAUAACUCAGUAUUUUUGGUUGAGUAUGUUGAGCACUGGAGUUUGUUGUAUAUUCAUAUUUGUACUUUGGGAGUGUUAUAUAUAUAAAGGAGACUCUGUCGAAUUUUCAGCAGAUUCUUUACGUAUAAUAUUAUUUUUAAGUCUGUUUUGAUGUAACUAGAUAGACUCGCCUGGGGGGGUUUCGGGGCGGGUCGUUUCAGUCCCCAAGGGGGGUGUAUGUAACACCCUAAGCGAAUCCCACAUCGGCAAAGCACGGGAGAGAUGCUGGGUUUAUAAGGGGUGAUCCACACCUUAAUUGACAAGACGCGUUUUGGGGUGUAUGGGCGCCCCAAGAACAAAUCCGUGCAGGCCUUGUUAAGGCCCAAAGCGGACAAUAUCUUGCCAUGUCUAGGUUGGGUCAUGACAUUGUGGUAUCAGAGCGGCUCCGCGUGUCCUCUUGAGCAAUGGUGGGGCAAACCUCAGCGAGGACGCGGAGUCCCCAAGGGGGGGUGUAUGUAACACCCUAGGCGAAUCCCACAUCGGCAAAGCACGGGAGAGAUGCUGGGUUUAUAAGGGGUGAUCCACACCUUAAUUGGCAAGACGCGUUUUGGUGUGUAUGGCGCCCCAAGAACAAAUCCGUGCGGGCCUUGUUAAGGCCCAAAGCGGACAAUAUCUUGCCAGGACUGGGUUGGGUCAUGACGUUGUGGUAUCAGAGCGGCUCCGCGUGUCCUCUUGAGCGAUGGUGGGCCAAACCUCAGCGAGGACGCUGAGUCCCCAAACGGGGUGUAUGUAACACCCUAGGCGAAUCCCACAUCGGCAAAGCACGAGAGAGAUGCUGGGUUUAUAAGGGGUGAUCCACAGCUUAAUUGGCAAGACGCGUUUUGGGGUGUAUGAACGCCCCAAGAACAAAUCCGUGCGGGCCUUGUUAAGGCCCAUAGCGGACAAUAUCUUGCCAGGUCUGGGUUGGGUCAUGACAAUGUGGUAUCAGAGCGGCUCCUCGUGUCCUCUUGAGCGAUGGUGGGGCAAACCUCAGCGAGGACGCUGAGUCCCCAAAGGGGGUGUAUGUAACACCCUAGGCGAAUCCCACAUCCUCAAAGCACGAGAGAGAUGCUGGGUUUAUACGGGGUGAUCCACAGCUUAAUUGGCAACACGCGUUUUGGGGUGUAUGAACGCCCCAAGAACAAAUCCGUGCGGGCCUUGUUAAGGCCCAUAGCGGACAAUAUCUUGCCAGGUCUGGGUUGGGUCAUGACAAUGUGGUAUCAGAGCGGCUCCGCGUGUCCUCUUGAGCGAUGGUGGGGCAAACCUCAGCGAGGACGCGGAGUCCCCAAGGGGGGGUGUAUGUAACACCCUAGGCGAAUCCCACAUCGGCAAAGCACGAGAGAGAUGCUGGGUUUAUAAGGGGUGAUCCACAGCUUAAUUGGCAAGGCGAGUUUUGGGGUGUAUGGACGCCCUAUGAACAAAUCCGUGCGGGCCUUGUUAAGGCCCAUAGCGGACAAUAUCUUGCCAGGUCUGGGUUGGGUCAUGAAAUUGUGGUAUAAGAGCGGCUCCGCGUGUUCUCUUGAGCGAUGGUGGGGCAAACCUCAUCGAGGACGCUGAGUCCCCAAGGGCGGGUGUAUGUAACACCCUAGGCGAAUCCCACAUCGGCAAAGCACGGGAGAGAUGCUGGGUUUAUAAGGGGUGAUCCAUACCUUAAUUGGCAAGACGCGUUUUGGGGUGUAUGGGCGCCCCAAGAACAAAUCCGUGCGGGCCUUGUUAAGGCCCAAAGCGGACAAUAUCUUGCCAGGACUGGGUUGGGUCAUGACGUUGUGGUAUCAGAGCGGCUCCGCGUGUCCUCUUGAGCGAUGGUGGGCCAAACCUCAGCGAGGACGCUGAGUCCCCAAACGGGGUGUAUGUAACACCCUAGGCGAAUCCCACAUCGGCAAAGCACGAGAGAGAUGCUGGGUUUAUAAGGGGUGAUCCACAGCUUAAUUGGCAAGACGCGUUUUGGGGUGUAUGAACGCCCCAAGAACAAAUCCGUGCGGGCCCUGUUAAGGCCCAUAGCGGACAAUAUCUUGCCAGGUCUGGGUUGGGUCAUGACAAUGUGGUAUCAGAGCGGCUCCGCGUGUCCUCUUGAGCGAUGGUGGGGCAAACCUCAGCGAGGACGCGGAGUCCCCAAGGGGGGGUGUAUGUAACACCCUAGGCGAAUCCCACAUCGGCAAAGCACGAGAGAGAUGCUGGGUUUAUAAGGGGUGAUCCACAGCUUAAUUGGCAAGGCGAGUUUUGGGGUGUAUGGACGCCCUAUGAACAAAUCCGUGCGGGCCUUGUUAAGGCCCAUAGCGGACAAUAUCUUGCCAGGUCUGGGUUGGGUCAUGAAAUUGUGGUAUAAGAGCGGCUCCGCGUGUUCUCUUGAGCGAUGGUGGGGCAAACCUCAGCGAGGACGCUGAGUCCCCAAGGGCGGGUGUAUGUAACACCCUAGGCGAAUCCCACAUCGGCAAAGCACGGGAGAGAUGCUGGGUUUAUAAGGGGUGAUCCAUACCUUAAUUGGCAAGACGCGUUUUGGGGUGUAUGGGCGCCCCAAGAACAAAUCCGUGCGGGCCAUUUAAGGCCCAAAGCGGACAAUAUCUUGCCAGGACUGGGUUGGGUCAUGACGUUGUGGUAUCAGAGCGGCUCCGCGUGUCCUCUUGAGCGAUGGUGGGCCAAACCUCAGCGAGGACGCUGAGUCCCCAAACGGGGUGUAUGUAACACCCUAGGCGAAUCCCACAUCGGCAAAGCACGAGAGAGAUGCUGGGUUUAUAAGGGGUGAUCCACAGCUUAAUUGGCAAGACGCGUUUUGGGGUGUAUGAACGCCCCAAGAACAAAUCCGUGCGGGCCUUGUUAAGGCCCAUAGCAGACAAUAUCUUGCCAGGUCUGGGUUGGGUCAUGACAAUGUGGUAUCAGAGCGGCUCCGCGUGUCCUCUUGAGCGAUGGUGGGGCAAACCUCAGAGAGGACGGGGAGUCCCCAAGGGGGGGUGUAUGUAACACCCUAGGCAAAUCCCACAUCGGCAAAGCACGGGAGAGAUGCUGGGUUUAUAAGGGGUGAUCCAUACCUUAAUUGGCAAGACGCGUUUUGGGGUGUAUGGGCGCCCCAAGAACAAAUCCGUGCGGGCCUUGUUAAGGCCCAAAGCGGACAAUAUCUUGCCAGGUCUGGGUUGGGUCAUGACAUUGUGGUAUCAGAGCGGCUCCGCGUGUCCUCUUGAGCGAUGGUGGAGCAAAACUCAGCGAGGACGCUGAGUUCCCAAGGGGGGGUGUAUGUAACACCCUAAGCGAAUCCCACAUCGGCAAAGCACGGUAGAGAUGCGUGGUUUAUAAGGGGUGAUCCACACCUUAAUUGGCAAGACGCGUUUUGGGGUGUAUGAGCGCCCCAAGAACAAAUCCGUGCGGGCCUUGUUAAGGCCCAAAGCGGACAAUAUCUUGCCAGGUCUGGGUUGGGUCAUGACAUUGUGGUAUCAGAGCGGCUCCGCGUGUUCUCUUGAGCGAUGGUGGGGCAAACAUCAGCGAGGACGCUGAGUCCCCAAGGGCGGGUGUAUGUAACACCCUAGGCGAAUCCCACAUCGGCAAAGCACGGGAGAGAUGCUGGGUUUAUAAGGGGUGAUCCACAGCUUAAUUGGCAAGACGCGUUUUGGGGUGUAUGGACGCCCCAAGAACAAAUCCGUGCGGGCCUUGUUAAGGCCCAUAGCGGACAAUAUCUUGCCAGGUCUGGGUUGGAUCAUGACAAUGUGGUAUCAGAGCGGCUCCGCGUGUCCUCUUGAGCGAUGGUGGGGCAAACCUCAGCGAGGACGCUGAGUCCCCAAAGGGGGUGUAUGUAACACCCUAAGCGAAUCCCACAUCGGCAAAGCACGGGGGAGAUGCUGGGUUUAUAAGGGGUGAUCCACACCUUAAUUGGCAAGACGCGUUUUGGGGUGUAUGGGCGCCCCAAGAACAAAUCUGUGCGGGCCUUGUUAAGGCCCAUAGCGGACAAUAUCUUGCCAGGUCUGGGUUGGGUCAUGACAUUGUGGUAUCAGAGCGGCUCUGCGUGUCCUCUUGAGCGAUGGUGGAGCAAAACUCAAUGAGGACGCUGAGUCCCCAAGGGGGGUGUAUGUAACACCCUAAGCGAAUCCCACAUC